Molecule: ribosomal RNA, 483 nt
Filed under: uncultured bacterium
Lineage: Bacteria
Description: partial 16S ribosomal RNA
Rfam family: Bacterial small subunit ribosomal RNA
Source: RNAcentral
UUGAACGCUGGCGGCAGGCCUAACACAUGCAAGUCGAGCGGAUGAAGGGAGCUUGCUCCUGGAUUCAGCGGCGGACGGGUGAGUAAUGCCUAGGAAUCUGCCUGGUAGUGUGGGAUAACGUCCGGAAACGGGCGCUAAUACCGCAUACGUCCUGAGGGAGAAAGUGGGGGAUCUUCGGACCUCACGCUAUCAGAUGAGCCUAGGUCGGAUUAGCUAGUUGGUGGGGUAAAGGCCUACCAAGGCGACGAUCCGUAACUGGUCUGAGAGGAUGAUCAGUCACACUGGAACUGAGACACGGUCCAGACUCCUACGGGAGGCAGCAGUGGGGAAUAUUGGACAAUGGGCGAAAGCCUGAUCCAGCCAUGCCGCGUGUGUGAAGAAGGUCUUCGGAUUGUAAAGCACUUUAAGUUGGGAGGAAGGGCAGUAAGUUAAUACCUUGCUGUUUUGACGUUACCAACAGAAUAAGCACCGGCUAACUUCGUG